GAUGAACGCUGGCGGCAGGCCUAACACAUGCAAGUCGAACGGUAAGACGAGGAAGCUUGCUUCCUUGCUUUAGCGGGGCGGAGGGGUGAGACAUGUCUGGGACACCCCCUGAUGGAGGGGGAUACCUAGGGAAAACGGUAGCUAAUACCGCAGAACGUCUCAAGAGCAUAGAUGAAGAGCUUAAGGCGUCUUUCCAUUCACUUUGCCCGGAUGCUACUCGCUAGUAGGUAGGGUAACGGCUCACCGAGGCAACAAGCCAUAGCCGGUCUGAGAGGAUGACCGGCCACACUGGAACUGAGACACGGUCCAGACUCCUACGGGAGGCAGCAGUAGGGAAUAUUGCACAAUGGGCGCAAGCCUGACGGAGCCAUGCCGCGUGUGUGAAGAAGGUCUUCGGAUUGUAAAGUUCUGUCAGCAGGGAAGAAGAUAUGAAAGUGAAACCGUGCGCACAUUGACGUUACCCGCAGAAGAAGCACCGGCUAACUACGUG
This 490-nucleotide ribosomal RNA is filed under the name uncultured bacterium. RNAcentral's name for it is "partial 16S ribosomal RNA". It matches the Rfam family "Bacterial small subunit ribosomal RNA", at positions 28 to 507 of the family's 1533-position model. The record is from RNAcentral.